AUACGGAGGGUGCAAGCGUUAAUCGGAAUUACUGGGCGUAAAGCGUACGUAGGCGGCAAGUUAAGUUAGAUGUGAAAGCCCCGGGCUCAACCUGGGAACUGCAUUUAAAACUGGCUUGCUAGAGUUGAGUAGAGGGGAGUGGAAUUUCAGGUGUAGCGGUGAAAUGCGUAGAGAUCUGAAGGAACACCAGUGGCGAAGGCGACUCCCUGGACUCGAACUGACGCUGAGGUACGAAAGCGUGGGUAGCAAACGGGAUUAGAAACCCUUGUAGUCC
This 274-nucleotide ribosomal RNA is filed under the name uncultured bacterium. RNAcentral's name for it is "partial 16S ribosomal RNA". It matches the Rfam family "Bacterial small subunit ribosomal RNA", at positions 523 to 796 of the family's 1533-position model. The record is from RNAcentral.